Molecule: long non-coding RNA, 798 nt
Filed under: Homo sapiens (human)
Lineage: Eukaryota; Metazoa; Chordata; Mammalia; Primates; Hominidae
Description: non-protein coding LINC02561:18
Source: RNAcentral
AGUGCUUGUGUUCCUGAGUGUAGGUUCUGAGCUAUUAGGUUACUACAGACUACAGAGAUACAACGUGAAAUCUCCACCUCUUUAUGGUGAGGGUCUCUCCCGUAUGUACCCUCAGCCCACAGGAGAGAGAGGUACAUGGGAUGGCACAUGUGGCACAACUGGACUCCUUUGGGCUUCAGUGAUCCAACCUCUCAUCACAGUGGACAUUGGCUGAGCACAUCUGAUGUCCUCAUUAUCCAAGUUGGCCUGGGGAGGAAUUGCUGCCUAAGGAUGCCAGUGGAAACAUUAUUUUUGAUACUGUGGAUCUUCGUGACACAUGGGAGGCCCUGGAGAAGUGCAAAGAAGCAGGUUUAACCAAGUCCAUCGGGGUGUCCAAUUUCAAUCACAAACUGCUGGAACUCAUCCUCAACAAGCCAGGGCUCAAGUACAAGCCCACCUGCAACCAGGAUGGACCCAGAUAGCCCAUAUCUCUUAGAGGAGCCAACCUUGAAAUCCAUUGCCAAGAAAUACAAUAGAAGCCCAGGCCAGGUUGCCCUGUGCUAUGAGCUGCAGCGGGGGGGUGGUGGUCCUGGCCAAGAGCUUCUCUGAGAAGAGAAUCAAAGAGAACUUCCAGGUUUUUGACUUUGAGUUGACUCCAGAGGACAUGAAAGCCACUGAUGGCCUCAACAGAAAUUUCCGAUAUGCUAAGUUACAAUUGAUCUGUUGACAUUGUCUUUUGUUGUUCAUAUGGAAAACUCAAGCUUUUCAGUUUGCCAACAUUCUCAACUCUUCAGAAUUUCUACUGAUGUCUAGAUUAUA